GCAAUAUGCAUCCAUCAAUUAUCUCCAACACAUUUUGAUUGGCAAAAACGUCCAUGUUACGGACCCAAUUUAGAUAGCAAGGCCGGCCAAUAAACAAAAUAAUGUUAUUGAAGCGCAAACGAGCGCAUAGAAAAUUUAUAGCCCAAUGAAUCACCAGAUACGGCCAUGUGAUUCAUCCCUUUUUUAUUUUUCUUUUCCUUUUGUAUAGCUUCAGACAAGCGGUGCAUGACGCACCAGAAAGUAGGGACAAAUAAAUAAACAAAUUUGUGACCCGCACGAUCCUCUGAAUAGAUCGUAUUACUCAUAGUGUAGCGCAGGCAUACAAGAUAGGAAAUCACGUGUUCAUUUGGGACCGUGAGCAGGCAGCAUAGACAGAUAAGGCGCCUGGAAUACACAAAGACAACAAGGCACCAGGCGAAAGAUGAUUAUUGCUGGUAAUAAGCCUGGCCUCGCCCAUUAUCGAAUAUACGAAGGGCUAUAAACAAAAAUAACAUUUUAGGCCGACGAUGAGUAAUAAACUUUCUAAAUUGUACCCCUCUAGCGAGAGCGACAGAGGUCCGCAGAGAUAAGCGGGUAGAAAUUACAUGUAGGGAAAUAGCAGGCAGACAAUCGAUAUGGGCUCGGUUGUCUGAGAAGGAAAGAGAGAUCUUUUCUCUCCUUUAUAGUUUUAACGCCUAGGAAUGAAUUCUUGGGUAUAUAUACUCGGGAUUCUGGCCUAGGAAGUCAGUUCAAUUCCCGUUCAAUUUCAGUUCAGUCAAGAUUCAAUUUAAGUUCAGUUCAAAGUUCAAGCAUCAGUUCAAAUAAAAACGGAAAGUUCAAUCAAGUAAAAUAGUUCAAGUUAAAAAUAUCCGAAUCCGAAAACCCACUAAGCGUUGACAACCAGGCGUCACGCAUCAGAAUCCGGAUACCCCCAAAUUGGCAACCAGGCGCCACGCACCAGGCCAGAGCUCCUAACAAGGAAGGAGCUCGAGUAAAGGCACACAUACUUUCCAGGCAAACCGGUAAUCUAGGAGAUCAUCAGAGGAGGAUACUAAUUUUUUUAAUGUUCCUUUAUAGAUUCUGUAGUCUUUAAAUUUCUCAGGGUCUUGCUGAAUUCUUUGGACCAUUUUUGCGAACCACCCUGUAUCAUCAUUGGAUGCUGUGAGCUCUUCAACAGCCCUUGAUAAAGCAUCUGCUACUACAUUGUCUGCCCCUUUGCGAUGAAAAAUUAGCAUAUCAUGACGUUGCAAAUCUAUGCUCCAUCGACAUAGUCGUGAAGAAGUGCGCCAGCAACUUUUCAUAAUAUAAGUUAAUGCCGAAGCAUCAGUGUACACUGUAAAUUUAGUUCCUUCAAUAUAACCCCGGAACUUUUCUACAGAUCGGAUUACUGCAAGACCAAGAUGCUAAACUAUAGGUGUUUCGUUCUUGACACUUUCAUGACAAUACGUGAGACGAGUAGCAAGACGUAGCUUUCUGAAUUAUUUACUUUUUGUUUGGUUGUGUGGUUCUGGUUUCAUAUCAACUCGCUGAGGAAAACAACUGAAGGAAGAAAUAAACAAGUAUAUAUUCGUGAAAAAUAGUGUACUAUAGCCCCAAUAAGAUGCCGUAUUAUUGUGCAGUAAAAGGAUGUUUUCAUAACGAAAAAUAGCCCGGACAUUGUUUACCACACUUUUCUCCGAGAUGGAGAUAAAAAUCAAGGUAUAUGCUCACGUCAUUUCCAUAGCAGCAGCUACGAUGACCGACAUCAAAUGGUACGAGGAAAUAUAGGAUGUUGAAUUCCAAAGUUAAACCUUUUUUGUGCCUUAUAUGAGUUAAGAUCCCUACAUUCAGCCCGCCGCCAGGUAAACAACAAUAGAAGCAACAUAGAGCAUACUUUCCACGUGGGUACGCAUUGAACAAGGACAAUGCUAGGAAACAGGGUAAAUAAAGGAGAUACAGGUAAUCCGCCUAUGCCGGAAGGGGUAAAGUUUCUAGCC
Molecule: long non-coding RNA, 1955 nt
Organism: Toxorhynchites rutilus septentrionalis
Lineage: Eukaryota; Metazoa; Arthropoda; Insecta; Diptera; Culicidae
Exons: 3
Source: RefSeq, a predicted model, not a curated record